AUCGGAUCUCUAUUUCGUUGUCAAUGCUGUAUCUAAUUUUUUUUACGUAAAGUAGCAGCUGUGGUUUCUUUAAUAAUGAAGAGAGAAGAACAACGCGUUACCCAAGGCGACGCCAGUUCGAGGAAACAUCGAUGAGCUGCGACAACGGAUGACACAAGCAGCUGUCACCAUACAUCAAGUCUUGCUUCAUGGGAUCUGGCACGAAAAUGGUUACAGAUGGGACAUUUACGUGUUACAAAAGUUAAAUAAGGGACAAAACUCCACCCGAAGAGGUCAUGAAGGCUCAACGGUACCGACCGUCCGCCGUGUCAUCCUCGCCCGAAGGCAUCGUUGGAUGCGGAUAUGGAGUGCCAUGCGGUCAGCACACCGCUCUCACGGCAGUAUGUCAGUUUACGAGGCCGGAGCCGCUACUUUUCAAUCAAGUAGCUCAACAGUUUGCCUCACAAAAGCUGAGUGCACCACGCUUGUCAACAGCGCUCGGCAGUCCGGAUGGUCACCCUUUAAACAUUCAUGGUGGUGUCUUAUUGUUCUAUAUCGUGUCUCCCUACCACUUUCGCGCAACGACGCUCUGAGCGUGUUUUUUUAGGGAAUUGACUAGUUUGAACCUGGGACCUGUUGCUGGUAAGGAGACGCCAGACCACACAUGACAUGU
Molecule: long non-coding RNA, 652 nt
Organism: Schistocerca gregaria
Lineage: Eukaryota; Metazoa; Arthropoda; Insecta; Orthoptera; Acrididae
Exons: 4
Source: RefSeq, a predicted model, not a curated record